CGGGGUGUAGCGCAGUCUGGUAGCGCAUCUGCUUUGGGAGCAGAGGGUCGUGAGUUCGAAUCCCACCGCCCCGACCA
RNAcentral lists this transfer RNA (77 nucleotides) under Candidatus Kinetoplastidibacterium stringomonadis TCC290E. RNAcentral describes it as "tRNA-Pro (TGG) (tRNA-Pro-TGG-1-1)". It matches the Rfam family "tRNA". Rfam says of the family: Transfer RNA (tRNA) molecules are approximately 80 nucleotides in length. Their secondary structure includes four short double-helical elements and three loops (D, anti-codon, and T loops). Further hydrogen bonds mediate the characteristic L-shaped molecular structure. tRNAs have two regions of fundamental functional importance: the anti-codon, which is responsible for specific mRNA codon recognition, and the 3' end, to which the tRNAs corresponding amino acid is attached (by aminoacyl-tRNA synthetases). tRNAs cope with the degeneracy of the genetic code in two manners: having more than one tRNA (with a specific anti-codon) for a particular amino acid; and 'wobble' base-pairing, i.e. permitting non-standard base-pairing at the 3rd anti-codon position. The record is from RNAcentral. RNAcentral also lists the same sequence under 2 other names. Lineage: Bacteria; Pseudomonadati; Pseudomonadota; Betaproteobacteria.